GAUGAACGCUGGCGGCGUGCCUAACACAUGCAAGUCGAGCGAACAGACCAUGCUUUUGCUCCUUUCACGUUAGCCGCGGACGGGUGAAUAACACGUGGAUAACCCCCCUAUAUUUCUGAUAUCAUUACGGGAAACCGGAUCAUAUCCCGUAUAAUCUACUGCACCGUAUGGUUCAAUAGAGAUUUUCGGCUUUGCUGGCUCGACUCGCUGCUUCCCGGCUGGAUUAGCUAGUUGGUAGGGUAACGGCCUACCAAGGCGACUAUGCGUAGCCGAUCGGAGAGGAUGAUCGGCCACACUGGAACUGAGACACGGACCAGACUCCUACGGGAGGCAGCAGUGGGGAAUGGUCGGCAGUGGGCGGAAGCCUGACGCAGCGACGCCGAGUGAGUGAUGAAGGUCUUCGGAGCGUAAAGAUCUGUUAUUGGGGAAGAACAGAUGUGGAAUUAGAUGUAGCGGUCUUGACGGUACCUAAUCAAGAAGCAACGGCUAACUACGUG
Molecule: ribosomal RNA, 497 nt
Filed under: uncultured bacterium
Lineage: Bacteria
Description: partial 16S ribosomal RNA
Rfam family: Bacterial small subunit ribosomal RNA
Source: RNAcentral